AACGAACGCUGGCGGCGCGUCUUAAGCAUGCAAGUCGAACGGCAAGAGAGGAGCUUGCUUCUCUCCUAGAGUGGCGGACUGGUGAGGAACACGUGGGUAAUCUACCCUUAAGAUGGGGAUAGCUGCUAGAAAUAGCAGGUAAUACCGAAUACACUCGGCAUAUCACAAGAGGUGUUGAGGAAAGGAAGCUACGGCUUCGCUUGAGGAUGAGCUUGCGUCCCAUUAGCUAGUUGGUGAGGUAAAGGCCCACCAAGGCGACGAUAGGUAUCCGGCCUGAGAGGGUGAACGGACACAUUGGGACUGAGAUACGGCCCAAACUCCUACGGGAGGCAGCAGCUAAGAAUAUUCCGCAAUGGACGGAAGUCUGACGGAGCGACGCCGCGUGGAUGAAGAAGGCUGAAAAGUUGUAAAAUCCUUUUGUUGAUGAAGAAUAAGGGUGAGAGGGAAUGCUCAUCUGAUGACGGUAAUCGACGAAUAAGCCCCGGCUAAUUACGUG
This 496-nucleotide ribosomal RNA is filed under the name uncultured bacterium. RNAcentral describes it as "partial 16S ribosomal RNA". It matches the Rfam family "Bacterial small subunit ribosomal RNA", at positions 29 to 507 of the family's 1533-position model. The record is from RNAcentral.